This 201-nucleotide ribosomal RNA is filed under the name uncultured bacterium. RNAcentral's name for it is "partial 16S ribosomal RNA". It matches the Rfam family "Bacterial small subunit ribosomal RNA", at positions 328 to 539 of the family's 1533-position model. The record is from RNAcentral.
ACGCUCGACACCUACGGGAGGCAGCAGUGGGGAAUAUUGGGCAAUGGGCGAAAGCCUGACCCAGCAACGCCGCGUGAGGGAAGAAGGUUUUCGGAUUGUAAACCUCUGUCCUCAGGGACGAAGGACGUGACGGUACCUGAGGAGGAAGCCCCGGCUAACUACGUGUCAGCAGCCGCGGUAAUCUGAGCGGGCUGGCAAGGC